RNAcentral lists this ribosomal RNA (497 nucleotides) under uncultured bacterium. RNAcentral describes it as "partial 16S ribosomal RNA". It matches the Rfam family "Bacterial small subunit ribosomal RNA", at positions 28 to 507 of the family's 1533-position model. The record is from RNAcentral.
GAUGAACGCUGGCGGCGUGCCUAAUACAUGCAAGUCGAGCGAACAGACGAGGAGCUUGCUCCUCUGACGUUAGCGGCGGACGGGUGAGUAACACGUGGAUAACCUACCUAUAAGACUGGGAUAACUUCGGGAAACCGGAGCUAAUACCGGAUAAUAUAUUGAACCGCAUGGUUCAAUAGUGAAAGACGGUUUUGCUGUCACUUAUAGAUGGAUCCGCGCCGCAUUAGCUAGUUGGUAAGGUAACGGCUUACCAAGGCGACGAUGCGUAGCCGACCUGAGAGGGGGGAAGGGCCAAAGGGAAACGGGAAAACGGCCAAAACCCUAAGGGGAGGAAGAAUGGGGGAAAUUGCCCAAAGGGGGGAAAGCUGGACGAAGAAAACCGCGGGGGGGAAGAAGGGUUUUGGGAUGGAAAAACCUUUUUUUUGGGAAAAAAAAAAGGGGUAAAAAAAUAAGCAGGUCUGAAGGGAACCAAAGAAAAAACCAAGGCUAAAUUAGGG